Molecule: non-coding RNA, 171 nt
Filed under: bacterium
Lineage: Bacteria
Description: 6S RNA
Rfam family: 6S / SsrS RNA
About the family: E. coli 6S RNA was the first non coding RNA to be sequenced, but its function was unknown until recently. It consists of 184 nucleotides that fold into an extended hairpin structure with a large single-stranded internal bulge.
Source: RNAcentral
ACAUCCCUGCUCUGUUGGUGAUCAGUAAAAUAUUAAGCCAACUCUUCAUUCUAGGGUAGCCUUGCCGUUGCUCAAUGGGAAGCCCACGGGCUUGCCAGGCCCAACCUUGGAUCUGCCCACCUAAUGUACUUAGGUUUAAUCAUUUUGCUGACACGGCAGCGCGGGGGUUUU